Molecule: transfer RNA, 85 nt
Filed under: Helianthus annuus (common sunflower)
Lineage: Eukaryota; Viridiplantae; Streptophyta; Magnoliopsida; Asterales; Asteraceae
Description: tRNA-Val
Rfam family: tRNA (bases 2-74)
About the family: Transfer RNA (tRNA) molecules are approximately 80 nucleotides in length.
Source: RNAcentral
UGUUUCUGUGGUGUAGUGGUUAUCGCGUUUGCUUUACACGCAAAAGGUCUCCGGUUCUAUCCCGGGCAGGAACAUUUAGAAGUAC